This is a non-coding RNA of Paramuricea clavata, 875 nucleotides long. The record is from the annotation of a GenBank genome assembly. Lineage: Eukaryota; Metazoa; Cnidaria; Anthozoa; Malacalcyonacea; Plexauridae.
AGCUGCGUAUAUACUUGAAUAAUUAUUGCAGGAAUGCAGUUUCGUUUUUCACGAGACAAAAGAGUGCUUUGAGGCAGGAAACCGUAUCAGCCACGCUUGUCCAUUUUGAAACGUUUUCUCGAACAAAUCCAGCACAAAAGUCAAGCAGAAUUUGUCAAGAUGGUGAUGUCUAGAAGUACAGCAGUUGGGUCGAUAGUAACAGGCUCUAUUAUGCUCGGUUUUGCAAUUAUUGCCGUGAUAUGUGGCGCUGUUUCAUCCGGGAAGCUGUCUGGCCAGGCUGCAGCUUCGGCUGGUUUGUGGUCGCUCUAUGUAAGUAUUAAUUAAGCCUUGUUCAUGUCCAAGUCUUACGCCUAAAACUUACGUGACCCAUGUUGUUUAGAGCUUGAGUUUCAUUUGGUCGCACUAAUUUUCGAAGGCUUGAUUGUCAGAUCUUGUGACUUGUCGUUGACAUUACUGGUUGCCUUUUGUGAAGUAUUAAAUUAAGGAAAUACGUUUUCCCAACUUGUAUAGCAAUGUAGUGAAUGUUUGGUAGUCCUAUUUUGGCUACACUCAUCGUGUGAUCGCGACCACCACGACUAAGUCCAAACUAAAGCUAAAUUCUGCUUCUCAUUUGCUUUUUAAUGAAUAAUGGCGACUGUUUGCCAAUAUGGCGAUGUCAUGUAAAUAGUCACGAUCGAUGUGCCAUUUUGAGUUUUGUAAUUGUAGGCAGAUUAGUAAAGACAAAGGCAGUUUACGGCAUGCAUUCGUCACAACGGAAAAAAACUGGCCUUGACUUUUGUACUGAAGACUUUAAGACGGCCGAAUAGCGAAUAAUAUUGAAAUAAAAUCGAUAAAGAUCGUAGACUAGUCUGAAGGGCGCGGAUCGUUGUCAUGCC